AACGAACGCUGGCGGCGUGCCUAACACAUGCAAGUCGUGCGAGAAAGUUCCUUCGGGAGCGAGUAAAGCGGCGCACGGGUGAGUAACACGUAGGUAACCUGCCCCCAGUCUGGAACAACUAGAGGAAACUCUAGCUAAUGCCGGAUGAGACCACGAUCCCUUCGGGGGUUGCGGCCAAAGAUGGCCUCUACUUGUAAGCUAUCGCUGAGGGAUGGGCCUGCGGGCCAUUAGCUUGUUGGUGAGGUAACGGCUCACCAAGGCUGUGAUGGCUAGCUGGUCUGAGAGGAUGACCAGCCACACUGGGACUGAGACACGGGCCCAGACUCCUACGGGAGCAGCAGUGGGGAAUAUUGCGC
This 356-nucleotide ribosomal RNA is filed under the name uncultured bacterium. Its description in RNAcentral is "bacterial SSU rRNA". It matches the Rfam family "Bacterial small subunit ribosomal RNA", at positions 29 to 369 of the family's 1533-position model. The record is from RNAcentral.